Molecule: ribosomal RNA, 250 nt
Filed under: uncultured bacterium
Lineage: Bacteria
Description: partial 16S ribosomal RNA
Rfam family: Bacterial small subunit ribosomal RNA
Source: RNAcentral
UACAUAGGCUGCAAGCGUUAUCCGGAUUUAUUGGGCGUAAAGAGUCCGUAGGCGGUUUUUUAAGUCUUGUUUCAAAGACCUCGACUCAAUCGAGGAAAGGGGCAAGAUACUGAACGACUAGAGUGAUAUCGGGGUUACUGGAAUUUGUAGUGUAGGGGUUAAAUCCGUGGAUACUACAAAGAACACCAAGCGCGAAGGCGGGUAACUAGGUAUAUACUGACGCUGAGGGACGAAAGCUAGGGAAGCAAAU